UGAAGGCGUUGGCUAUAUCGAUUGACA
RNAcentral lists this small RNA (27 nucleotides) under Bombyx mori (domestic silkworm). RNAcentral's name for it is "ovarian small RNA-30964". Lineage: Eukaryota; Metazoa; Arthropoda; Insecta; Lepidoptera; Bombycidae. The record is from RNAcentral.